This is a long non-coding RNA of Bicyclus anynana (squinting bush brown), 4523 nucleotides long. RefSeq lists it as uncharacterized. Lineage: Eukaryota; Metazoa; Arthropoda; Insecta; Lepidoptera; Nymphalidae. The transcript is spliced from 3 exons. The record is from RefSeq and is a predicted model, not a curated record.
UCAAAUUUGAGUCCCGACUGGUCCCUUUUUGUUGCCAUCUGCGCUCCGAAAGUCCAGACAGCUCCACCCUAAAAACCGUUUAGACGAGAUUCUUAUCCUUUCACUCGCUUAUCAAAUCCCAUACCGUUAUCUCUUUCUAAACGGCCAGGAUCCUGUUUUCUGUCCCUUUUUUGCACAUGCGCUUGAAUUGUUCUAUCCUUUCUGGCUCGUACUAAUUCGUGUAUUUCCGCUUCCCACAGCGUCGGCCAUGUUUGGCGGGACUGUCAAGUCAAGUCAAGUCAAUGCCAGUUUGGCGCGUAUGUAGCAGGAUGAACAAGAUGCUGCUGAAGAUCGCUUCGGUCUAGGAUGUUUGCCGGCGAGAGACGCCUCAUUUUUUCUACGCAGCCGUAUGGGACUUCGUUUGGCUGUUCUUUAGACACCUUUUCUAAUACAAUUGCCUAGUAUAAAGUUAUUAAUAAGAUAUACAAUUUUCAUAUUUAUUUAAUUAUGUAACAAGAAAAUAAUUCUAAUAAAGCGCGAGAAUUCUCUGGAACUUAAAUAAGUACGAACUCUUCGUGUUGAUUAAAAUAGGCAUUAGGUAGUUCAAAGAAGUGUAUAAAAAUAAUAAAUUAAAAUUUGACCAUUAAAAAUUUUUAGAGAAACAUAUCCAAAAUGUUCUUUGUUGAAAGAUUGGGCUUUAAUAGUUAUUAAUUUUUGAGAAUUUUGUGAGUUGUAAAUAAUAUUUUAUUCUGGUAAAUUUUCUUUCAGUUAUCGGUUAAAUUAUAACGUAGGAAUCUACGUAAUACCGAAAUAGAUGCUGUUAAUAAAUUAUGCGACAGCUUAGAAAAACCCUUAAUGUUAAUUAGGCACCGGAGCUUUUCAAGGUAUUGAUAUAACUUAGCAUCACAAAAAUACCCCAAAUUAUUAAAUCAGUGCAAAUUCGUAUACUUCAAGUAGGCUUAGCUUAAAAGUAGUUUUGUAACAUCAAGCUUGUCUGUUCGUAUUACCUCUACCACAGGUUCGGAAGGUAAAUUCUUCUGAGAAGAGCCUGUAAUAGGCUCAAUAUUAACUUUAACUUUUUUCAAGAUACUAAAAUUACUAAUCUCUGACAAUUUAAUUUUUCUUGUCUGAAAAUGAAAGCUGAUUCAAUUACCUCCAGGCAUCCUCCUCAUUAGAAAAACACACCUGCUUACUGCAUAUUCUUAAUUCAUUGCGUGUGUAAAGCCAAUCUGAAUUAGGCCAGUGUGGUGGACGUGCUCUGCAGUAAGCCGAAUAUAGGUUGAUAAUAAUGAUCCUCCAUAUUAAUAUGCACUUAAAUUAGCAUUAAUAUUAGAAUUAUUUUCUUUUAAAUCGUACCACAAAAACAUGAAAUGUAUGUAAAUGUACUAACAGUUUUCCACACUUUAGCUUUACAACAUGAAGUAUCAAGAAGAAUCCCGAAGAAGAGGAAGCAUUUGGUGCGUUUCAAGCAUCAAUAUUAGUGCCCUACAUCUACCCUGUAGAUCCGAAUUUGUUUGAAGUGAGGCGACAAAUUCGGUUCUAGAGAGGUUUGUGUGGUGCAUGCACGGCCACCAUUAAGACCAUGCUGCAGAUCAGAAGACUGGAAGAUUUGUUUCAUAUAUGUGUCCUGUGUUACUUAUAGAAUAGAAUAGAAUAGAAUAGAAAUCAUUUAUUUGUUAACACAACACUACACUACAUAAUAACUUAAAACUUACCAACCAACCAGGUGGACUGACGACAUCAAGCGAGUCGCAGGGAUUCGCUGGAUGCAGGUGGCUCAUCAGGUAUCGUGAUGUUUGGAAGUCCCUGCAAAAGGCCUAUGUCCUGCAGUGGACGUCCAUCGGCUGAUAUGAUGAUGAUGAUGAACUUAAAACUAAUACAUAUAUGUAUAGAAAAUAUGUUGUGCCAAAAAAAAUGGACCUGACUCAGCUAAAAUUUGUUGUGAGUACAUCAGUACCCACAACGCUGGUAUUCUGUCAGACCCUUAGGAGGGAAGAACAGAACACAUAAAAUAAUUAUAUCACUAAUAAAAUAAAACAAAAUACAGUUUAAAAAUACAGUAGUGUAAUAUCAGAAGUACAAAAAAUUUAAUCUCAAAAGCUAGCAAACACAAAAGAAAAGAAAAAUUUAAAAAAAGAAAAAAAAAUAUAUAGAAUUAAUUGUUUAUUAUUAAUGUGUGUGUAUAUUAUUUAUAUGUGUCUUAAAAUAUAAUUGUCUUAACUUAUAUUAUAUAAUUAAUUACGAUAUUGACACAUGCAUUUAUUUAAUGAAAUUAAAAAGUUAAAUUAUUGUAAAGCUGGCCCAGUAAGAAUUGUCUUGUAAAAUAACGUUUUAAUCUUACGAUUUAGUUAGAUUUUUUUAUUUUGAAGAAUUAGUCUUGGUUGUAGUCAAACGCCAGUCUAUAUUGUGUUUAAAGAGUUAGGUUAGAUAAUUUAGAUUAAAAAACAUCUUUAAGUACCUAUUAGGAAGUAGAGUGUUACAAAAUAACUUUUUAAUUUAUUACAAAAUGCAUGUGAAUAAUAUAUGUGUCUGUUUAUUUUUUUAUUUAGUAAUUCAUGUUUUAUGAUAUGAGAGUAUAUAAAGUUAUUUAUGUACCUAAUUGUAUUGCUCAAACGUUUUAUUGUAUGAGUAGAGUAUGAAACUGUGCUUACUGUUAAAACACAAUCAAUAAUAAUAAACAGAAAAUAAAAAUAUUAGGACAAUACACACAUAACUUAUCUAGCCCCCAAUAAGCGUAGAAUGUGUAUAAUACAUUUACAUAAUACACUUAUAAAUAUGUACUUAGAUUAUAUAUAAACUAUAAACAUACCCAGACAGUAAAAACACACUUGCUCAUCACAAAAAUAUUUUCAAUUGUGAUAAUCGAACCCACGGUCGUUGAUGACGAUGAUGAUACAUUUACAAAUAAAUGCACUAAUCACUGCGCCAUACGGCCGUCAAAUUAACACCAGUACAAAACUCACUUCGUUCGUUUUAAAAAUGCACUAGUGUUUUAAGUUUUUACUUAUCGAAUAAAAAUAUUUUUCUUUCUUUCUUUUUUUUUAAUAACCCAAAUUAUGCAACCUUUUCAUAACUUACUACCUAUAUAAUAUAUUAUGUUGUACCUACGUACAUAAUUAAUAUGUAAAUUAUCAGCUCGGUUCACACACUGCUCUGCAUGUACACUGCGAUUGAAAAUUAUAUUUGGUGUUCAUUCAAAAAUACAUAGGUGUUCUUGUCUUAUUAAUCUUGUCAUCUUGUCAAUGUGCUAUGGGACCUGCAAGUUUAUAAAAGACUAUAUACGUCCCGCGGUUUCACCAGCGUUGUUCCCGUUCCCGUAACGGCAAUAAAAUAUAGCUCAUGACACUAACAAAUAACAUGACUUUUUAGUGGUAAAAGAAUUUUCUAAAUCGGUUCAGUAGAUCCAGAGAUUACCCCGUAUAGCAACUUUACCUCUUUCUAACAUUGAUAGGUAAACGGUUGCAUUAAUAAUAAUAAUUUAUUUAUUCAUCAGAAAGCAGGUUUACAAAGAUUACUUAAAUAUAAUAAGACUCUGAUACUCUCUACCACAAUAAUUUGGUGUAUGAAAAAUUUAAAUAGACUAUGUAUAAUCCUAAUUUAAAAGCAAACAAAUAAAAAAAGAAAACAUAUGUAAUAGCUUAUACAAUUUAACAUUUUAAGAUUCAAUGAUUAUGACAAAUGUAACUCAAAACUACUGUGAUAGAUAAAAUAAAAUAAUAGUCAUAAUAUAUACUGUCAAAAUUAUUAAACCUUGUUAAAUUUAGUGCAAAGUCAAGUAAUUAUUACCAGUGAAAUGUUAAAAUGUCAAUUAAAAUUAUGUCAAACACAUGUCAAUUAAAAUUAUGUCAAAAUAUUUAUCAUACGUCAAAAAAAAAAAAAAGAACAUGAUUAAAAUUUGUAAUUUAAAUAGGUACUCAUUUAAGUUAUAGAAACAUUUAUCCAUAAGCAUUUUAGAAACCUUACUCUUGAAACUAUUUACAUUGUCAAUCUUAUAGAUAUCUGGUAGUUUGUUAUAUAUUGAAAUUAUGAAUAUAGUGUUUUUUAUAAAACGAAUCAAGUGUGUUUUAUAACAGAUACACUAAAGCAAUUUAUUAAAGUAGAGCAUCAAACGUCCAUACGUGUAAUUUAGCAUUAAAGCUUUCGUGUCUGUGCUAUAAAACUCAAGAUUUUUCAAAAUUCUACCCCUAAAGGUUAAAAAGUGUUUUAAUAUAAAUCGAUUAUGUUUUGAGAAAUGAUUAGUAGACUAUUUUUAUAUAUAAAACAUGCGAAAAUAGAAAUAGAAGGGGGUGAACUAGGGGUUGAAAGCUUACAUCGAUUUCAAAGCGGGGGCAGUCGCGAACGCCCGCUAGUACAAAAUAUAUCUACUUAUCAUAAGAUAAUGAAUCUGUAAAAUUGUUAUUUAUUCUCUCAAUUUUCUUGAAACACUUGAAUGACUUGAAUUUUGAAUAUUCAAAACAUUUAAAUUAAAAUAUUUUUGCGAUUAAUAUAAUGUCAUCAUUUCGAAUAAACAUUAUCAUCACUUCGAAUUAAAAAAUAAUGAUUAA